CAAGGCCUUGCGCUCUUUGAGCGGCCGAUGUCAGAUUAGCUAGUUGGUGAGGUAAAGGCUUACCAAGGCGACGAUCUGUAGCGGGUCUGAGAGGAUGAUCCGCCACACUGGAACUGAGACACGGUCCAGACUCCUACGGGAGGCAGCAGUGGGGAAUUUUGGACAAUGGGGGCAACCCUGAUCCAGCCAUGCCGCGUGAGUGAAGAAGGCCUUCGGGUUGUAAAGCUCUUUCGGCCGGGAAGAAAUCGCAUGGGCCAAUACCCUGUGUGGAUGACGGUACCGGAAUAAGAAGCACCGGCUAACUACGUGCCAGCAGCCGCGGUAAUACGUAGGGUGCGAGCGUUAAUCGGAAUUACUGGGCGUAAAGCGUGCGCAGGCGGUUUUGUAAGACAGGCGUGAAAUCCCCGGGCUUAACCUGGGAACUGCGUUUGUGACUGCAAGGCUAGAGUACGGCAGAGGGGGGUGGAAUUCCACGUGUAGCAGUGAAAUGCGUAGAGAUGUGGAGGAACACCAAUGGCGAAGGCAGCCCCCUGGGUCGAUACUGACGCUCAUGCACGAAAGCGUGGGUAGCAAACAGGAUUAGAUACCCUGGUAGUCCACGCCCUAAACUAUGUCAACUAGGUGUUGGGUGGGUAAAACCAUUUAGUACCGUAGCUAACGCGUGAAGUUGACCGCCUGGGGAGUACGGCCGCAAGGUUAAAACUCAAAGGAAUUGACGGGGACCCGCACAAGCGGUGGAUGAUGUGGAUUAAUUCGAUGCAACGCGAAAAACCUUACCUACCCUUGACAUGCCAGGAACUUGCCAGAGAUGGCUUGGUGCCCGAAAGGGAGCCUGGACACAGGUGCUGCAUGGCUGUCGUCAGCUCGUGUCGUGAGAUGUUGGGUUAAGUCCCGCAACGAGCGCAACCCUUGUCGUUAAUUGCCAUCAUUUAGUUGGGCACUUUAACGAGACUGCCGGUGACAAACCGGAGGAAGGUGGGGAUGACGUCAAGUCCUCAUGGCCCUUAUGGGUAGGGCUUCACACGUCAUACAAUGGUCGGUACAAAGGGUUGCCAAGCCGCGAGGCGGAGCCAAUCCCAGAAAGCCGAUCGUAGUCCGGAUUGCAGGCUGCAACUCGCCUGCAUGAAGUCGGAAUCGCUAGUAAUCGUGGAUCAGCAUGUCACGGUGAAUACGUUCCCGGGUCUUGUACACACCGCCCGUCACACCAUGGGAGCGGGUUCCGCCAGAAGUAGGUAGCCUAACCGCAAGGGGGGCGCUUACCA
Molecule: ribosomal RNA, 1262 nt
Filed under: metagenome
Description: bacterial SSU rRNA
Rfam family: Bacterial small subunit ribosomal RNA
Source: RNAcentral